GACGAACGCUGGCGGCGUGCUUAACACAUGCAAGUCGAACGGAAAGGCCCCUUUUUUGUGGCUCGAUUGGGUGACGGGUGGGUAACACGCGAGUAACCUGCCCGUGACUUCCUUUUAACUUCCGUAAACUAGGUCGAGUACCGAAUUGGUAGCCUUUCUUCAUGGUUGGUGUUGGAAAGCUUCGUCGGUUUUGGAUGGACUCGCGGCUGAUCAGCUUGUUUGUGGGGUAGUGGCUUACCAAGGCUUUGACGGGUAGCCGGCCUGAGAGGGCGACCGGCCACAUUGGGACUGAGAUACGGCCCAGACUCCUACGGGAGGCAGCAGUGGGGAAUAUUGCACAAUGGGCGGAAGCCUGAUGCAGCAACGCCGCGUGCGGGAUGACGGCCUUCGGGUUGUAAACCGCUUUCAGCAGGGGCGAAGCGUUUGUGACGGUAACUGCAGAAGAAGCACCGGCUAACUACGUG
RNAcentral lists this ribosomal RNA (464 nucleotides) under uncultured bacterium. RNAcentral describes it as "partial 16S ribosomal RNA". It matches the Rfam family "Bacterial small subunit ribosomal RNA", at positions 28 to 507 of the family's 1533-position model. The record is from RNAcentral.